This 404-nucleotide unclassified non-coding RNA is filed under the name soil metagenome. RNAcentral's name for it is "partial contains 5.8S ribosomal RNA, internal transcribed spacer 2, and large subunit ribosomal RNA". The stretch from base 1 to 122 matches the Rfam family "5.8S ribosomal RNA", at positions 35 to 154 of the family's 154-position model. The record is from RNAcentral.
GAUGAAGAACGCAGCGAAAUGCGAUAAGUAAUGCGAAUUGCAGAAUUCCAGUGAGUCAUCGAAUCUUUGAACGCACCUUGCGCCCUUUGGCUAUUCCGAAGGGCAUGCCUGUUUGAGUAUCAUGAACACCUCAACUCUUCACGGCUUGCCGUGAUGAGUUUGGACUUUGGGGGUCUUGCUGGCCUACGAGCCAGCUCCUCUCAAAUGUAUUAGCUUGCCGGUGUUUGGUGGCAUCACAGGUGUGAUAACUAUCUACGCUUGUGGUUUUCCACUAGGUAACCUUCAGCAAUGGAGGUUCACCGGAGCUCACAAAUGUCUCUCCUUGCCAAGGACAGAUUUUGACCAUUUGAUCUCAAAUCGGGUAGGACUACCCGCUGAACUUAAGCAUAUCAAUAAGCGGAGGA